UGUGCCUCAGUAUCACCAGGGUGCUGUCAGGACCAGGGACAGAUCAGGAGGUGAAGGAAAUGUUUGCUUCAUGAGAAAAUGAGAGGGGGCUGCAAACUCCAAGACCCAGGAGUGCCUCUCCAUGGCUUCACACAUAUGUCCUACGGGUGGAGAUGGGGCUUGCUGAAGCAGGUUACUCCAAAGCACCUGCCACCUCAAGGGACUGAGCUAUGAAACCGUGACAAGUGCAUGGAGCAGCUAUUUGAGCACCAGGAAAGGAAACGAUACGCAGCAGUUUGGGAUGACCCCAGCAGAUGAAAUACAACAGCCCAGAGCAAAGGGGAGAUAAAGGGGACACCUGUGACCUCAGGGAGGACACUGCACAUGGCAGGGACACCAUUUUAGCACAACUGGGUGUGUGAGGAGAGGGCACUGUGAGAAGUCAAGUGCCUGGAGCUGUGGCAGAGAAAGAGGCAGCAUCUGCAAGAGCUGAAGGUGUGAGAUCAUGGUCACUGGCUCCUGCUGCAUGUCAGCGUCUCCCUGUCACCCAGGCCCGCCCCAUCGCCAGGUGGCUUUGCCAGGUAACUCUCUGCUUCCCCCUGGUGGCCGCUCCACACUGUGGGCUGGGGGCUCAGGGACUUCCUGGGUCUAGGUGUGGAUUCAGAACCUGCUGUUCAGGUCCCUGAUGCCCUGAUCCGAGGACUGCUGGUCCCAGGGGAGGAACACCUCUUCUCUGUGUGGCCCCUGCCUGACUCAAGAUCAGGUACAAGGGGCUCAGC
RNAcentral lists this long non-coding RNA (758 nucleotides) under Homo sapiens (human). RNAcentral's name for it is "HSALNT0275763". The record is from RNAcentral. Lineage: Eukaryota; Metazoa; Chordata; Mammalia; Primates; Hominidae.